UGGGGAAUAUUGCACAAUGGGGGAAACCCUGAUGCAGCAACGCCGCGUGAAGGAAGACGGUUUUCGGAUUGUAAACUUCUGUUCUUAGUGAAGAAAAAUGACGGUAGCUAAGGAGCAAGCCACGGCUAACUACGUGCCAGCAGCCGCGGUAAUACGUAGGUGGCAAGCGUUGUCCGGAAUUACUGGGUGUAAAGGGAGCGCAGGCGGGAGAUCAAGUCAGCUGUGAAAACUACGGGCUUAACUUGUAGACUGCAGUUGAAACUGGUUUUCUUGAGUGAAGUAGAGGUUGGCGGAAUUCCGAGUGUAGCGGUGAAAUGCGUAGAUAUUCGGAGGAACACCGGUGGCGAAGGCGGCCAACUGGGCUUUAACUGACGCUGAGGCUCGAAAGUGUGGGGAGCAAACAGG
This 405-nucleotide ribosomal RNA is filed under the name uncultured bacterium. RNAcentral's name for it is "bacterial SSU rRNA". It matches the Rfam family "Bacterial small subunit ribosomal RNA", at positions 355 to 776 of the family's 1533-position model. The record is from RNAcentral.